CUUCCUUCUGAGCCGAUGCCCCUCAGCCCCGGAGGAACCGUGCCAGGCCGCUCCCGCCUCUCCUUCCCUCCCCUUCCCUUCUCUUCCCGGCGCAGGCGCGGCCGGCCCGGGAAGGGGGAGCCCAGCGGGUUUCCCGGCAGCGGCGGGUUUCAGGGAACGUCCCUGCUCGGGGUGUGCGCGGCCCGGGUAGUGUCAGGGUGGACAAGUUUAUUAAGAAUGCACAGUAAGAAGACUGCAGUCAGGUACUAUGUUGGGAUUGAUGUUGGCUCAGCGAGUGUUCGAGCAGCUUUGGUCGAUGGCUGUGGGACAGUGGUGGCACAUGCGGAGCAGCCCAUCCAAAUUUGGGAGCCCCAGCCAGACCACUAUGAGCAAUCCUCUGCAGACAUCUGGGCUGCCUGCUGCUCAGUCACAAAGAAGGUUGUCUGUGGAGUGGAUGCUGCCCAGAUUCGAGGGGUUGGUUUUGAUGCUACCUGUUCUCUUGUUGUUCUGGAUAAACAGUUCCAACCUUUGGCAGUCAACUGUGAAGGACAGAACCAUAGGAAUGUUAUUAUGUGGAUGGAUCAUCGUGCAGUGAGUCAAGUCGAGCUCAUCAAUGCAACACAACACAGAGUUUUGAACUACGUUGGGGGAGCAAUGUCUGUGGAAAUGCAACCACCUAAACUGCUGUGGAUAAAGGAGAACUUGCAGGAAUCCUGGGAGAAGGCAGGCUACUUCUUUGAUCUUCCGGAUUUCUUGUCUUGGAAAGCCACAGGUGUCACUGCAAGGUCCCUCUGUACAGUCGUGUGCAAGUGGACGUACACGUCAGACAAGGGUUGGGAUGACAGCUUCUGGAAAAUGAUUGGUUUGGAAUGUUUGGUGAAGGAUAAGUAUGAAAAAAUAGGAAACCACGUCUUGUCUCCUGGAGAGGCCGUUGGAAAAGGUCUAACGCCAGAAGCUGCCAAAGAGCUGGGUCUCCCCGAAGGGAUUGCAGUGGCAGCAUCUCUCAUUGAUGCACAUGCUGGAGGACUAGGAGUAAUUGGAGCAGAUGUGAAAGGACAUAACCUGCCAUGUGAGAACCAGCCGAUUACAUCCCGAGUUGCAAUGAUCUGUGGAACAUCUUCGUGCCACAUGGGGGUCAGUGAAAAACCCAUUUUUGUUCCUGGUGUUUGGGGACCAUAUUUCUCUGCAAUGGUACCUGGAUUGUGGUUGAAUGAGGGAGGUCAAAGUGCUACAGGAAAGCUGAUCGAUCAUGUGGUCCGAGGCCAUGUCGCCUUCCCGGAAUUACAGUCAAAAGCUGCAGCCAGUGCUCACAGCAUAUAUACAUACUUGAACAGUCACCUGGAUCUGAUUAAGAAAUCUUUGCCUGUGGGUUUCCUCACUGUUGAUUUACAUGUUUGGCCAGAUUUCCAUGGUAACAGAUCUCCCUUAACAGAUCUGACACUAAAGGGCAUGGUUGUUGGACUGACAUUGUCCCGGGGUCUGGAUGAACUUGCCCUUAUCUACCUGGCCACGAUCCAAGCCAUUGCUUUAGGAACAAGACAUAUUUUGGAAACGAUGCAGGCUGCAGGACAUGAUAUCAACACGCUGUUUCUGUGUGGUGGGCUGAGCAAGAACCCUCUCUUUGUGCAGAUGCAUGCUGACAUUACUGGGAAGCCUGUUGUCCUGUCCAGAGAGGUGGAGUCUGUUUUGGUGGGUGCUGCUAUUCUUGGAGCUUGUGCUUCUGGGGAUUUUGCAUCUAUACAGGAGGCCAUGGUGAAAAUGGGGAAAAUUGGGAGAGUUGUGCAGCCCAACCACGAGCACAAAAGAUGUUUAUCAUGCAACUUAAAAGAAGGGGAACCACCAUGUCAUCAGCUGCUCCAAGUAUCCUGCAGAGAGGCCCAGGCUUCACAUCAGAUGGAGAAGACAAGCAUAUGGUGGUUCCAAAGAAGCAAACAGCACCUCUGAGGAAAAAAAUCCACGAGACACCCCAAGGUGAAGAUUCUUCACAAGGCAAGAGUCAGGAACAGCAGCAUGUCACACAGUGUUCACCAUCCUGAUCCUGAUUCAACAAGGCACUGAAGCACAAGCUGAAUUUUCAGCCCUCAGGUAACACAUAACCUCUUAUGUGUCAGUAAUAUUGGAAUAGAAAUACACUUAUAACAGCAAUAAUGCCCCUGGUAUUCCUGCUGGAGCACUGAUAAGCUAAACAAAGCACUUUUCAAAGACUAAUAACCGGAUGGGAUUUGUAGCAUAAACAAUGCUCCUUGUUAGUCACCAGUCCCCAGGGCAUCUUCCUCACUUCGUUACAGACAAAUCAGUAACAAAUGAAAUGCUGUGUGUGAUUUCCUGCCCUGGCUGUGUCUCCCUGCUCGCGUGCCAGUGUGAGAGCUGUCAGUUAUUAUUUAUCCAUGGCUGUGUUCACAUCCACAGUGUGAUUUAACUACUUAUUAAAGGUGCCAGACUGGCAGAUGCAGAAGCUGGAGCAGUUUUAUUAUCCAGAGAAGUGACACAGUGUGAGCAGUAAUAUCCUUUCAGGAUGUUCUCGGAAAAUGCUUCACCACAAUGGACUCCUCAAAUCCUUCUCUCCAGCCUUUUCCCAGCUUCUCUACUCCAAGUGUUAAAUUCAAAAAGGCUGCUCACAGAGAUGUCAGUUAGUCCUGUGGUUUUUAGAUGGGAAUGUGGAUACCCUGGAAAAUCAUUUUGAACACAUUAAAUCUAUUUUAGCUAGGCCACUUGACCAUUGGUUAGUACUAACUCAAAAAAGGACCUGAAUGGUUUUAAUACAGAGGUGAAACCUACUCUAACUAAAUAGUAGCAAAAAAGAUUAUUCGUAAAGGGGGAAUGAGCCCAGAGGAUUUCCUUCUGCUGGCCAGGGGCUGUGUGCACAGGCCUGUGGCUCUUCUGCAGUAACUCAGACAUGCUUGUCUUGGAAACUGGAGGCUUAAUUCUGCACUGUUUCAAUAAGCAGGAUUUUGGGUCCAUUUUCUUAUGUCACUCUAAGCCUAUUAUUGCUUGGUUCAAAGCUCUUCCCCACCCCUGGGCACAGCUGGAUGCAGGAGAGCAGGGAAUCUUCUUGCACUUCCAUCAGUGCCUAGGCUUUAAUGGGGAAACUGAGAUUUUAUUUGGCUAAACUCAGUGAAUUUGACUAGAGAAAGGCUGUUAAAUAACAACAGGUUCCUUUCACACAGCUCCAGAAUAUUUUGAGAAAGAUACCGGACACAAGAAAAUCCAAACUUCUGUGAAUCUCUACAUUAAAUCAGUCAAUCCAUGAUUGCCCCAGGCCAGCCAUUCCUGUUUCCUUACUGACUUUAUUGGUCCCAGCACAUGCCUGAAAGUUGCAAUCCUGGAUCCACUUUGCCAACUAUAGGUUGGGAUUUUUGGUGCUAGAUCUUUGCAGAGUCCUUGAAGCACAACUGCAGUGCCAGUCACAGUGUUUGCUGAUAAUGAGCUUGUUGUUUGGCUCUGGAGUUUAAGCUGGCAAACACUCACAUGCCUGAAUUACUUUGCACAGUCCAGUGGUCCCAUCAAAGCCAACAGGUCUGUAUGUGCCAACCACUGGCAUUACUGCAUUAUUAAUUCCCAAUUUUACAAAUCAGGUUUCUUGAUCUACUCCACAAAAGGCUACCUAACCAAAAACUGGGCCUGUGAAGUAUAAAGAUGGGGCUGAGAGGUACAAAGGUGUGAAACAGCAUUCCCUGGCAGUGUUUUGGAGCAAGGCCUGUGUAAUGGCCUUUGACCACUGAGGGGUUUUCGACUGAGACAGUUUUGCAUGAUGCACCCUCAGUGAGUCCCAUCUGUGACCCUAAUUCCAUCCUGGAAUGUAAGACUGGGAGCUGCUGGGUAUGUAGGCAGGCUUCACAGAAUUCUGCCCAGAUGAGGAGCUCAGCUGAGAACCUGUUCCUGUGCACGAGCAAAGCACGUCUGAGCAGCUGCCAGUGGAGGGCAGCAGGAAAGCAAGGGAGGAAUCUCUGUAAGCACAAACAGAAGGAACUGGCUGGUAAAAUCAGACCAUAGUAACCUUUAGCUUCACAAAUGAUGCAAGUGCAAAAUGCAAUUUUGUUAGAAAUGCCAGUAAAUACAAUUGCAACUUCCCAGCCCUGCUCAGAGGGAACAGUCUGUUGAAGAGACUAGACCCCCAGCUGUAGGAAUUGGCUUUCCCUCUUUGGAAUAUACUGUAUCAAGAGAACCUUCAAAUAUGAAAGAAUAUAUGUUCAAAAUUUUUAGGCAAACUGAAUCUUAUUUUCCAAGAAAACCAAGAAAAACGACAUUGAUAUAAAAAUGAUGGGAAAUCUGAAAUCAGUUUUGACAGAUGCACAGUAACUUUUUUAUUUAAUACAUAAAUAUUGCAGUUAGUAUCAGAAUAAUUCAUCCUGCACUUCACAUACCUGUAGCUCUCCCACUCUGAUUAGCUGUGGUUGGGUUUGAGACAUUGCUGUGUUAUUCAAUAGCAAGUGAGAGCUGUGACAUUUUCACUCAGUGUUUCUAUUUUUCAACACAGACUCUUCUUCAGCUAGAGAAUACUAUUUAAAUAAUUCAUUUAAAAACAUAUCUUUUAGUAAUUUUUUACACCAACUUACAGAUGUUGAGAAAGAAAUACCCUUUAACAAGUUAGCUGUUGAUUUUCCACUUAAAAAUAAUGAAUCAAGUUAUUAACAUUUUAUUCAGUGAAUCUUCUAUGCUGAUAAAGUUUAUGAAUAAUAAAGAUAAUGGUAUAUAACUGGUACAAUGGAACACAGAGUUUUGAAAAUUAUUUUGUUUAAAGAGAUUAGAGAUAUUACCAGAAUUAGUUUCUCUAGUAGUACGUACCAGUACCCUGGUACAGAAUCAAUCUAUGGGGAUUUUCUUUUUGGAAAUUAAGUUUGUGAUUUCCCUGAUCCUGCAAAAAAACAGAAUUCUGAGCUUACUCAUGGAGUAAUCCCAGACUGUGGUGAGAACUGAAAGUAUUUGGACAAUAUUAAUUAAGUGUGAGAAUAUUCCCAGGAUCACAAUCUCCAGAAUGGCCUUGUUUGGACACAAACCCACCUGCCAAGCUGGUGCCUUACAAGUCACCACAUGGCCCCGCCUCUUUGAUGCACCUGUGGAAAGAGGAUCUCAGAGUGGGAAUGUGGAUUUGUUUGUGACCAGCACGCCUCUGUCACAGUUCAUAUCCCAGUCCUGCAUUUUUUCUCAUGGGCACCAACUGAAAUUGUAUCUGAGACAUUUAAUACAUGUGAAUUUGCAAAGCCAGGAGCUGUUACCGUGACAGAGCAAACAGUUCCAUGAUGUCAGUGAACGUCAGUGGAAUGCUGGAACUGCCAAAGCCCACUUUCACUUGUGACCUUGGUCAGUAAAAAAGAUAAGAGCGCUAAAAUAGAAGGGCAGGUAUCAGGGAGAAAUAAAUGAAAAGGCAGAAAUAAAAAAAACACAGAUAGAAGAUUGACAAAUGUUAGGGAACGACUAAGGCAGCAAGAGCAGGCCUGGAGGGGAUGUGACAGUGGCAAAGCAGGGUCUGGCUGAGGAGAAGUGUUGUUGCAGAGCUGUAUUUUAUUCUGCUCUUAAAAGUUCCUGAUUCUGAGGUGUUGCCCUGAGAAAAUCGAAGUGGAUCAUUCCUUAAAGAUGUUAACCAUUUACUCUCCUGCUGUACAGGGCCAAAAGGUACAAUUCCAAGACCUGGUCUCUUUUAUGAGCACAGGUAGGUAGUUUUCCACCUCUGACCUGCUUUGUCUCCAGUAUAGCUUUUUAUGGAAUUUAAUGAGCUAUCACAGCUAUUGGCUCUGUGGCUCUAUUUCCAUCUUUUCUCUUUAAGUUUAUCAAUGCCUAUUUCACUGACAUAUGAGAAACCUUAAAUAAUAUUUGUAAAAGCAGUUGCUAUUUUUUUCUGAAACUGCUGUAAUAAACUAAAUAUUAUUA
RNA transcript from Lepidothrix coronata (blue-crowned manakin), 5847 nucleotides. It is a transcript of the gene named FGGY carbohydrate kinase domain containing, with no coding region annotated. The transcript has 17 exons. The record is from RefSeq and is a predicted model, not a curated record. NCBI's taxonomy places the organism in Eukaryota, Metazoa, Chordata, Aves, Passeriformes, Pipridae.